AUUUAUUUUAGAUUCAAAGUACAACGCUGCAUUAAAUGAAAUAUUUUUCUAGAAAGUCAUCAGUUUAUAAAAGAUUAUAUAUACAUAAAUCCCUUAUUUCGUUCCGUUUAUAUUACAAGUGGUUUUAGUUGACAUUUUCAGUCAAAUUCUAGGUUUAAAUGAAAACAAAAUAAAUGGAAUUAUGAAUAGAAAUGAACAUUGCCAAACUGUUGUGCUGCCGAAGGAAAAUAGCUUUUCUGUGUUUGGGUGAUUGUAAAACAGGCUUGGAUGUUGUUGCUUCAUUUAUAAACUCAUGUUGACACAACUACCUAGUUAUAUGCAACGCAUUGGAUAUCUUCAUUUCUACAUUUCUACUCUUUGGUAUUAGUGGACCUUUCAUUAUUCAAUCCAAGUAUACUUUAGUAAAUUGUAUACUGGUAAUACUUUAAUGUAGGGGCUUUACACUAAAAGACUAACACAUUUAUAAGCUAUAUAUUAUACCUUCAUAUGCCCUACAUAAACGUUCACGUUUAUGCUCACAACUGCAGGUCGGUAGAUGUUGCGGUCCCCUGUGGCUCAGUUGGUAGAGCAUGGUGUUUGCAACGCCAGGGUUGUGGGUUUGAUUCCCACGGGGGACCAGUAUGGAAAAAAAAAAAAUGUAUGAAAUGUAUGCAUUCACUAUUGUAAGUCGCUCUGGAUAAGAGCGUCUGCUAAAUGACUAAAAUGUAAGUGUCACUGCAUGUCUUAUGUCAACUUACGGUUGUUAAUCUUAGCUGACAUUUGCAUGUAUAAAUGCUUAUGUAGUGCUUAUGACAGUGUAAUGAACUGUUAUGAAUGUGAUGUUUCCCUAUGUAUGUAGAGCCCCAUACACUACAGUGUUAAGUAGCCCCUAUUUUCUGUGGUAUUGGCUCUAGCCCUGCUCUCUGCCAAACAAGGUGAAAGAUUGAGAUGACAGAUGAAGAACAGUUUACAUGCAUCCUAUAAUUAUACAUCUUUCAAUGUAGCCAGUGUUGUUCUAAUGUCUGUUUAUAUUUUGGAUUUAAUCGAUGCUUCUGUCCAAAAUUGUUUACAAAAGCUGAAAUAUUCUGUAUGGAUGUACAAAAUUAGAUUUAUCGUAAUAAACUGCAAAGUGACUUUG
Molecule: long non-coding RNA, 1117 nt
Filed under: Salmo salar (Atlantic salmon)
Lineage: Eukaryota; Metazoa; Chordata; Actinopteri; Salmoniformes; Salmonidae
Description: lncRNA (ENSSSAG00000097073.1)
Rfam family: UnaL2 LINE 3' element (bases 650-703)
Source: RNAcentral